RNAcentral lists this ribosomal RNA (180 nucleotides) under uncultured bacterium. Its description in RNAcentral is "partial 16S ribosomal RNA". It matches the Rfam family "Bacterial small subunit ribosomal RNA", at positions 338 to 510 of the family's 1533-position model. The record is from RNAcentral.
CCUACGGGAGGCAGCAGUAGGGAAUCUUCCACAAUGGACGCAAGUCUGAUGGAGCAACGCCGCGUGAGUGAAGAAGGUUUUCGGAUCGUAAAGCUCUGUUGUUGGUGAAGAAGGAUAGAGGCAGUAACUGGUCUUUAUUUGACGGUAAUCAACCAGAAAGUCACGGCUAACUACGUGCCA